UAGAGUUUGAUCCGGCUCAGGACGAACGCUGGCGGCGUGCUUAACACAUGCAAGUCGAGCGGAAAGGCCCUUCGGGGUACUCGAGCGGCGAACGGGUGAGUAACACGUGAGUAACCUGCCCUGGGCUUUGGGAUAACCCUCGGAAACGGGGGCUAAUACCGGAUAUCCACUUGUGAUCGCAUGGUUGUGGGUGGAAAGUUUUUCGGCCUGGGAUGGGCUCGCGGCCUAUCAGCUUGUUGGUGGGGUGAUGGCCUACCAAGGCGACGACGGGUAGCCGGCCUGAGAGGGCGACCGGCCACACUGGGACUGAGACACGGCCCAGACUCCUACGGGAGGCAGCAGUGGGGAAUAUUGCACAAUGGGCGGAAGCCUGAUGCAGCGACGCCGCGUGAGGGAUGACGGCCUUCGGGUUGUAAACCUUUUUCAGCAGGGACGAAGCGUAAGUGACGGUACCUGCAGAAGAAGCGCCGGCCAACUACGUGCCAGCAGCCGCGGUAAGACGUAGGGCGCGAGCGUUGUCCGGAUUUAUUGGGCGUAAAGAGCUCGUAGGCGGCUUGUCGCGUCGGCUGUGAAAUCCCGUGGCUCAACUGCGGGCUUGCAGCCGAUACGGGCAGGCUAGAGUUCGGUAGGGGAGACUGGAAUUCCUGGUGUAGCGGUGAAAUGCGCAGAUAUCAGGAGGAACACCGGUGGCGAAGGCGGGUCUCUGGGCCGAUACUGACGCUGAGGAGCGAAAGCGUGGGGAGCGAACAGGAUUAGAUACCCUGGUAGUCCACGCUGUAAACGUUGGGCGCUAGGUGUGGGGGGCCUCUCCGGUUCUCUGUGCCGCAGCUAACGCAUUAAGCGCCCCGCCUGGGGAGUACGGCCGCAAGGCUAAAACUCAA
Molecule: ribosomal RNA, 881 nt
Filed under: uncultured bacterium
Lineage: Bacteria
Description: bacterial SSU rRNA
Rfam family: Bacterial small subunit ribosomal RNA
Source: RNAcentral